CAUGUCUUUUUGAUUAUAAUUUAAGGUUUAAUCUGCUCUAUGACAGUUGAAUGGCCGCAGUAUUUUGACUGUGCAAAGGUAGCGUGAUAAUUAGUUCUUUUAUUGUGAGCUGGUAUGAAUGAUUGAACGAAAGAGAAACUGUCUCAUUUUAAUUUUGGUUGAAUUUUAUUUUUCAGUUAAAGAGCUGAAAUUUAAGUAAGGGACGAGAAGACCCUAUAGAUUUUAAUAUUUUUUUUUAAUUUUAUGUUAAUUGAUUUAUAAUUUUAAUAAGAAUAUUUAGUUGGGGUGAUUUUGAGAUUAAUUAAACUCUUAAUUUAUUUACGGAGAUUUCUGGAUUUAAUGAUUUAUUUAUAUGACAAUAAAGCAAAUUACCUUAGGGAUAACAGCGUAAUUUUUUAAAAAGUUCUUAUUUAAUAAAAAGAUUGCGACCUCGAUGUUGGAUUAAAAUUUACUUUAGGUGUAGUGGCUUAAGGGUUGAGUCUGUUCGACUUUUAAAAUUUUACAUGAUCUGAGU
Molecule: ribosomal RNA, 514 nt
Filed under: Eucnemidae sp. UPOL 001236
Lineage: Eukaryota; Metazoa; Arthropoda; Insecta; Coleoptera; Eucnemidae
Description: partial 16S ribosomal RNA
Rfam family: Bacterial large subunit ribosomal RNA (bases 379-514)
Source: RNAcentral